Molecule: ribosomal RNA, 260 nt
Filed under: uncultured bacterium
Lineage: Bacteria
Description: partial 16S ribosomal RNA
Rfam family: Bacterial small subunit ribosomal RNA
Source: RNAcentral
GUCCGCACCGUAAACGAUGAUUACUCGUUGUUGGCAAUAUGACCGUCAGCGACCAAGCGAAAGCGAUAAGUAAUCCACCUGGGGAGUACGCCGGCAACGGUGAAACUCAAAGGAAUUGACGGGGGCCCCGCACAAGCGGAGGAGCAUGUGGUUUAAUUCGAUGAUACGCGAGGAACCUUACCUGGGCUUGAAAGUUAGUGACCGGUUCUGAAAGGAACUUUUCCGCAAGGACACGAAACUAGGUGCUGCAUGGCUGUCGU